GUCUACAGCCAUGCUACCCUGAACACGCCUGAACCUGUCUGAUCUCGGAAACUAAGCAGGGUCAGGUCUGGUUAGUACUUGGAUGGGAGACGACCUAGGAAGACCAGGUGCUGUAGACG
RNAcentral lists this ribosomal RNA (119 nucleotides) under Pteropus alecto (black flying fox). The record is from RNAcentral. Lineage: Eukaryota; Metazoa; Chordata; Mammalia; Chiroptera; Pteropodidae.